UGUUUGGAGGAUUAAAUAAGUUAAUAUACAUAAAGGGCUUAGGGCAAGGCCUGGCAAAUAGUAGGAGCUAUAUUUUUAUUAAUCAGGAGAACAACAAACUCUGGGAGAAAGGAGGGAUUUAACUCUGUCAAAUUUCCUUCCUUUUUUUUUAGCGAUAAUAAAUAAAAAGAGGGAAAGUGUUUGUUUUCAGGAGAUAGCUUUUGAGAUGGGUAGGAAGUGGCUAGUUCCAGAGGGCGUUGUUGGCGAGGGACAGACAUUCCCAGCGGGUGGACGUGUGAAGUCUUGGGAGUGAACGAACUUAUUCUGGGCGAGAGUCUUGCAGAGAGAGGAGGGCUGCAGACAGGACCUCAGAGAGCACUGGCAUUUAGGCAACAGAAGGAUGAAAGACUCGAUUGUAGACUCCAGGAGGCAGCGACUGUGUGGUCUUGCUCAUCUCAGGUUUCCCAGCAUCGUGCCUGGCGUGUGAUAAAUGCUCCUGAGGUGCGUGGGGAAGGAAGGAAGAAGCAGUGAAGGAGACAGAGGUCAGAGAGAAUCAAAGAAAACUGAGGGACAAUCACCCUGAAAGCUGGAGGAGGAGAUUGUUAAAGGGGGGUGGACAGCUACCUUGUGAACUGGUCUGCAUUGGCCACUCUCCCACUCUGGAUCCAGCCUUGCUGUCUGGGUGUGGCAUUCCAGGAUAGAUGGGACAGACUCUAUUUCAUUUGGUAGGUUUUGCCUCAGCUCCAGCUUCCAAGCAGCAGGAGCUGAAAGGCCCUGUCCCCUCGUGUCCAUCUGUCUAUCUCUUCAUUCCACCACCCCCUUCUCUCCCUUUUCCCCUUGGCUUCAGUGGACUCCUCCGUCAUGUCUCCUCUCCAGCAUCCCUCCUCCUCAGGUCCCCACUGCGAGAAGGAACGUGCAGAGGCCCAGAUGGGAAGGAGGCCUGGGACAGCUGAGGCUCUCUGGGACCUGGACCUCUUUGUUGCUCCUGCUUUGGCCUGAAAAGCUCCCCUGAGCCUUCAGGAAGGGCAUGCAGCCAAAGGCCCAUCGAGAAGGAAUGGUAGCUCCCAGUCACUGAGGACUUACCUUGUGUUGGAGGCCUUGUGUGUACUUCCCAACACACCUGUAUGGUGUGGACGAUGACUGAUUGACACAGGGGGACAAAGCCUGGCCUGCUUACCUCAAGGGGGGACAACUCUGGACCAUUCACCCCCCAGAGUUCCCCAUGGGAUCAGGCUGAGGUUAGACUCUGCUCAGACUCCAUCCUUGUGGAGCAUCUUCCCCGCCCUGUCCUGCUUCCCUCCUUCCCCUUCUCCUGAGAUCAUUUCCUCAGUAAACAUGUGCUCAAGAAUCCUCGUCUCAGGCUCUGAUUCUAGAGUAUGGGAUGAGGAAUUUAAAGCCGGGUCUAGCUGAUUUCAAAGUUGGCCUGUUGAAACCCCGUGUUGUCCAUAGCUGAGAGUGGUGAGCUGGCAGGUGUGAACGCAUUCUUGGGGGAAGGGGGUCUUGGCUAAGGAGAGGAGAGAGUCCCAGCCUUUAGGAAGGUCUUGGUGGCUUUAUUACUCCUUCCUUCACUUGCUCCCGCCUUGCUGCUGUCUCAUUCCACAAAACACGGCAGCAGCAACAAGCUACUCAGUUAGGUACCUCCCCAGGGGCAGGGAGAGGCAAGUUGGCGGCUACACUUGUGGAUGUGGGGACUGUGGGUCUGUAAGUCCCAUCCCCAAGGCUUCUCAGAGCGGAGAGUUAGUUACAUCUUUCAGGAGCAGGAGGCCAGAUGUGCUGCUACAGGAAUGGACUCGAAGUCCUGAGCAGCUCUUUGAGAGAGAGCAUGAGCUAAAACCCGGCAGGGAGGCUGCCUGGUGAGCAGGCUUCAGGCCUAGGCUGUGGUCCGAGGCCCCCAUUCGCAGCCCCCUGCCUGUGGGAGUGUUGAGUCAUCACCCUGGGAAGGCCUCUGUUGGAUUUUUCCAUAACUGGGAGGUUUAGAAAUGCCCCAGUCACACCUGCUCCAGUUAGAAUUUUGCCUCCAGCUUUCCCAGGAGGCACCCAGCCCUUUCAGAGACAGCUGCUUAAUUAAGGACAGCAAAUAAGUGAGAGCUGGUGCUCCCAGGUGGAGCUGAGGGAAUCUGGACCCCCCCCAGAGGGUGGAGCCACCGCCUGGCAGAGGAAUUGCUAGGGGUGGCUGUGGGAUGGGGGAAGGGCUCCUUGCUGGCCCCCAAAGAGCCUUCUACUCCACCUGGCUGGAGACGCAACAGACCACAAAGGACAUGGUGCCAGUAGGCAGAAGGCUUCUUAUCAUAACAAAAAGAAGAGUGCUGGGCUUUUUGGUUAAAAACCUUUACUACUGACUUCCCUAUGAAAGGAUAUAGUGUGGGGGCUUCGGUGUCAGAUAGACCUGAUUACAAACCUCUGUGCUAUCCUUGUAAAUUCUGUCAUGCUGGAAAAGUCACUUAAUAUUUCAGAACCUCAGUUUCCUCAUCCAGAAAAUGGGCAACCAUGCUCAGCACGUAGGCUUGCUGUCUGGGAUGUGGCAAGUCGGAUGAAGAAGUAGCUCAGCAAGAGGCAGAGAGAACCUUGGUGGGCUAGGAAUGCGAAAGAAAAAGGCAGGCAGCUUCACUAUGAAGGAGCUAAUUUACUUCUAGAGCCAGAGUGGUUGACGUAAGGCCACUGCUCACCCAUUCCAAUGCUCAAGGCAGACAUCACUGAUUAUGUCUGCCUAUUCUAAGCCCGGAUAAAGUCUCUAGGAAGCUUCUAUUGGUUAAUCAGAGGUGGCAGUCGAGAUGAAACCUAUGUGUUAUCCCUGCCCUUAUGUCAGGAUGGCCUUGAUAGCUACCAUGGAGGAGUCUCUGAAUAUGUGAGGAGGGAUUUAAAGGAGAGAAAGUUUGCCUUUUAGGUGUCUUCUAGCUUGAAUGCCUCGGGAUGGAGGCGGUUUCUGAUUGAGCAGCCCAAAAGUUCCAUCAUUUUCAGGCAGCUUGAGCUAUUGAGCAGAGGUCAGGCUUGGUGUGGACCUUCCAGAUGACCACCAGCUUGGCAGGGCCGGCCUCACCAAAGAUGAACUCUUAGGCUGCUUGCCCCCAGGAGCAGACCCUGAGACAAGGAUUCCAGCGCAAGUAGCUUAUGUGUGAAUUGAUCCCAAGACCUCUGGUAGGAGAUUCAGAAAGUGAGACAGGAAAGAGAAGGAAGCCAAUGUAAAGUGCAUUUCAAAAUAGGUUAUCACUGUGGACGACUGGAGUUUAAUCCUGCUGAGGAAGUCUGAGACAAUGCAGAACACGCAUCUGAGUUAUGACAUCUGAGGGGCAAGGGAGCUGAGGUUUUUAUACACCAACUCCCAUCAGUCAUUUGUUGAGGGCUACUGGGGUAGGAUGUUAACUCCUUGGUUACAGAUGGUUAGAAUGGGCCGGAGAAAGCUUUCAGGAAAAAGUCACAGGUACUGGCAGCUGGGAGUGGUAAAAGUCCAAAGCGGUAUCUGCCAUCCAUGUGGUCCUCAAAUCCGCAGGAGCCCAAGUGAGUCUGUUCACUGAAAAUCAGAGCAGCCUAACUUUUGCCAGUGUGGGGUUCUCUUUAAAAUGCCACACUGUGUCUCAUUCUGCGCCACCCUUAGGGGCAUAGAACACAUAGUCCCUGUUCUGGACUAUGUACAACCCUAAUGAUUAAAAUAUUAAACAUUUAUUUCAUACUUACUAUAGAUCAGGUGCUCUGGUAAUUGCUUUAUAAGCAUGGUCUAAUUUAAUUUUCAUAUCAACCCUGUGAAAUAGGUGCUAUUAUUAUCUCCAAAGUUCAAAGAGGUGAAGUAGCUUGCCCAAAGUCGCACAGACAGUGUAAUGGACUGAAUGUUUGUGUAACU
Long non-coding RNA from Equus quagga, 3814 nucleotides. RefSeq lists it as uncharacterized. NCBI's taxonomy places the organism in Eukaryota, Metazoa, Chordata, Mammalia, Perissodactyla, Equidae. The record is from RefSeq and is a predicted model, not a curated record. The transcript has 3 exons.